UUAUUAUUUUAAUAUUUUUAUAAUAAAUAUAUUAAUUUUAAUUUUAAUACUCUAAUUAAUAUAUUUACUAAGGUAUUUUUCUCAACAAGAACCUGAUAAGUACAGCCUGCCUAAAGAAUAUGCGUUAAAAUAGAUUCAUCAUCUAUAAGGAUCCUCAAACAGAGCAACACGCAUGAACCACUAUGGCACAAGUGCUAAGAUAUUCGAUACUUACCUUCAAGCUAGAUCCAGACUCA
RNAcentral lists this unclassified non-coding RNA (236 nucleotides) under Hevea brasiliensis (rubber tree). Lineage: Eukaryota; Viridiplantae; Streptophyta; Magnoliopsida; Malpighiales; Euphorbiaceae. The record is from RNAcentral.